GUAGAAAAUCUUGAGCCUGGAGGAUAGCUCAGGGCUUGUGACCUUCUCCAUGUGAGGGAGGACAUGCAGGAGGAGCCCACUCGGCAGGAUUAGAGGCAGCAUGUGAACCUUUUUUUUUUUCUUCUUUUAUUUUCUAAACUUGUUUAAUGUACAGGGUCCAAACCUAUGAGAGGUGGAGGCUUGCCAGAGCCAGCCUAUGGUGCGGUCGGGAGGAGGGACCAGCCAGAAAUAUUAUCUGGCCACAGGUGAGCAGGAGGAGGGAAAAGAGCUGGACAGAAAGAGUUGGACGGUGUGAAACGGAGGACGGGGGGGAACGAUGGACCUGGGGAGCAGCAUUACACCUGUCUGUGGUCUAAGAACAAUGAAACAUUGUGGGACCUGCAGGACCUGAGCAGACCUACGAUGCUGUCUCAGGUAGCUCCAGCUUCUUCUACCAGAGCUUCUACCACCGGACCCUGGCGGAAUCCGUUUAAAUAUCCAUUAUGUAGAUAUUGUGAUUUACAAUAUUUUUUUUUUUUUUGG
Sander lucioperca (pikeperch) is the source of this 522-nucleotide long non-coding RNA. RefSeq lists it as uncharacterized. NCBI's taxonomy places the organism in Eukaryota, Metazoa, Chordata, Actinopteri, Perciformes, Percidae. The record is from RefSeq and is a predicted model, not a curated record. The transcript is spliced from 3 exons.